RNAcentral lists this non-coding RNA (120 nucleotides) under Aerococcus christensenii. Its description in RNAcentral is "FMN sequence". It matches the Rfam family "FMN riboswitch aptamer (RFN element)". From Rfam's summary of the family: The RFN element is a highly conserved domain that is found frequently in the 5'-untranslated regions of prokaryotic mRNAs that encode for flavin mononucleotide (FMN) biosynthesis and transport proteins. This element is a metabolite-dependent riboswitch that directly binds FMN in the absence of proteins. Lineage: Bacteria; Bacillati; Bacillota; Bacilli; Lactobacillales; Aerococcaceae. The record is from Rfam by way of RNAcentral.
GAUUGGCUUCGGGGCAGGGUGAUAUUCCCGACCGGCGGAAAAAGUCCGCAAACCGCGCACAAGCGGGAGAACUAGUGAGACUCUAGUACCGACAGUAUAGUCUGAUAGGAGAAGGCCAAG